This 1050-nucleotide long non-coding RNA is filed under the name Oncorhynchus kisutch (coho salmon). RNAcentral describes it as "lncRNA (ENSOKIG00005011738.1)". The record is from RNAcentral. Lineage: Eukaryota; Metazoa; Chordata; Actinopteri; Salmoniformes; Salmonidae.
AUGGAGCUAUAUACAGGGAGUACCAGUACCAGAUCAAUGUGGAACUGUAUACGGGGAGUACCAGUACCAGAUCAAUGUGGAACUGUAUACGGGGAGUACCAGUACCAGAUCAAUGUGGAGCUAUAUACAGGGAGUAUCAGUACCAGAUCAAUGUGGAGCUAUAUACAGGGAGUACCAGUACCAGAUCAAUGUGGAACUGUAUACGGGGAGUACCAGUACCAGAUCAAUGUGGAACUGUAUACGGGGAGUACCAGUACCAGAUCAAUGUGGAACUGUAUACGGGGAGUACCAGUACCAGAUCAAUGUGGAACUGUAUACGGGGAGUACCAGUACCAGAUCAAUGUGGAGCUAUAUACAGGGAGUACCAGUACCAGAUCAAUGUGGAACUGUAUACGGGGAGUACCAGUACCAGAUCAAUGUGGAACUGUAUACGGGGAGUACCAGUACCAGAUCAAUGUGGAACUGUAUACGGGGAGUACCAGUACCAGAUCAAUGUGGAACUGUAUACGGGGAGUACCAGUACCAGAUCAAUGUGGAACUGUAUACGGGGAGUACCAGUACCAGAUCAAUGUGGAACUGUAUACAGGGAGUAUCAGUACCAGAUCAAUGUGGAGCUAUAUACAGGGAGUACCAGUACCAGAUCAAUGUGGAGCUAUAUACAGGGAGUAUCAGUACCAGAUCAAUGUGGAGCUAUAUACAGGGAGUAUCAGUACCAGAUCAAUGUGGAGCUAUAUACAGGGAGUACCAGUACCAGAUCAAUGUGGAGCUAUAUACAGGGAGUACCAGUACCAGAUCAAUGUGGAGCUAUAUACAGGGAGUAUCAGUACCAGAUCAAUGUGGAGCUAUAUACAGGGAGUACCAGUACCAGAUCAAUGUGGAGCUAUAUACAGGGAGUACCAGUACCAGAUCAAUGUGGAGCUAUAUACAGGGAGUACCAGAUCAAUGUGGAGCUAUAUACAGGGAGUACCAGAUCAAUGUGGAGCUAUAUACAGGGAGUACCAGUACCAGAUCAAUGUGCAGAGGUACGGGUUACUUGAUGCACAUAUGUAA